This 471-nucleotide ribosomal RNA is filed under the name Streptococcus mutans. RNAcentral's name for it is "bacterial SSU rRNA". It matches the Rfam family "Bacterial small subunit ribosomal RNA", at positions 28 to 475 of the family's 1533-position model. Lineage: Bacteria; Bacillati; Bacillota; Bacilli; Lactobacillales; Streptococcaceae. The record is from RNAcentral.
GACGAACGCUGGCGGCGUGCCUAAUACAUGCAAGUGGGACGCAAGAGAACACACUGUGCUUGCACACCGUGUUUUCUUGAGUCGCGAACGGGUGAGUAACGCGUAGGUAACCUUCCUAUUAGCGGGGGAUAACUAUUGGAAACGAUAGCUAAUACCGCAUAAUAUUAAUUAUUGCAUGAUAAUUGAUUGAAAGAUGCAAGCGCAUCACUAGUAGAUGGACCUGCGUUGUAUUAGCUAGUUGGUAAGGUAAGAGCUUACCAAGGCGACGAUACAUAGCCGACCUGAGAGGGUGAUCGGCCACACUGGGACUGAGACACGGCCCAGACUCCUACGGGAGGCAGCAGUAGGGAAUCUUCGGCAAUGGACGAAAGUCUGACCGAGCAACGCCGCGUGAGUGAAGAAGGUUUUCGGAUCGUAAAGCUCUGUUGUAAGUCAAAAACGUGUGUGAGAGUGGAAAGUUCACACAGGACG